Molecule: ribosomal RNA, 408 nt
Filed under: uncultured bacterium
Lineage: Bacteria
Description: partial 16S ribosomal RNA
Rfam family: Bacterial small subunit ribosomal RNA
Source: RNAcentral
GACGAACGCUGGCGGCGUGCUUAACACAUGCAAGUCGAACGAAGUGGCGAACGUUUGAGUAAUGCGUAAUCCACCUGCCCUUCAGUGGGGGACAACAGUUGGAUACUACUGCCCAUACCGCAUACUUACGGAGGCGAUUGCGUCGGAUUAGCCAGUUGGAGGGGUAACGGCCCACCAAGGCGAUGAUCAGUAGCCGGUCUGAGAGGAUGAGCGGCCACAUUGGGAGUGGGGUACGGGCGAGACGCCGACGGGAGACAGCAGUGGGGGCUCUAGCGCAAGGGACGAAAGUCUAGCAGAGCAGCGCGGGGGGAGGGAUGACGGCAUUCGGGUUGUAUAGCUCUGUUAGAUGGGACGCGGUACCGUAAUAGAAAGCCACGGCUAACUACGUGCCAGCAGCCGCGGUAAUUC